Molecule: long non-coding RNA, 199 nt
Filed under: Prunus persica (peach)
Lineage: Eukaryota; Viridiplantae; Streptophyta; Magnoliopsida; Rosales; Rosaceae
Description: long non-coding RNA (PPER_LNC005361)
Source: RNAcentral
GAUCUUCUACUGGCAUGCAUUCUACUUCAAUUAACAUAUUCUGAUAUUCUUUUUCUCCUAAAAUAUGUUCUAAUCCUAUAUUUAAAAUUAAAUCUUUCAUUUCUUUAUCUGAUAAAUCUAUGUAAUCCUAAAUAAUAAGUUUUAUAUCUAUGUCAUCUAUGAGUUUAUCAACUAUAUUAUCAAAAUUAUGUUCAAUCAU